UUAAUUGAAACCAAAUAGAGGUAUAUUAUUGUUAAUAAUAUCAUUGAAUCAAGGAUUCCAAUUAAG
This 66-nucleotide transfer RNA is filed under the name Gryllodes sp. Its description in RNAcentral is "tRNA-Asn". Lineage: Eukaryota; Metazoa; Arthropoda; Insecta; Orthoptera; Gryllidae. The record is from RNAcentral.